Non-coding RNA from Maylandia zebra (zebra mbuna), 405 nucleotides. Lineage: Eukaryota; Metazoa; Chordata; Actinopteri; Cichliformes; Cichlidae. The record is from the annotation of a RefSeq genome assembly.
AUGAUGCUCAGACUGUCUGUUCUGCUGACAGUGCUCUGUCUGCCCUGUUUGAAUGCUCAGGCUAUGGAGUCCAUUCCUUCCACUCCAGUGCUGAAAAAGCCUCAGGAAGCUGUCAGUCUUUCCUGUAGAGGAAGUGGUUUCAGUUUUGGCAGCUUUGGAAUGGACUGGAUCAGACAACCUGAUGGAAAAGCAUUAGAAUGGUUAGGAGUCAUUUCGUCUGAUGCAAGUAGAACUGCUUAUGCGAGCAGUGUGGAAGGACGUGUAGAAAUCACCAAAGACAACAGCAACAGCAUGGUGUAUCUGAGACUGUCCAACCUAAAGCCAGAGGACUCUGCUGUGUAUUACUGUGCUAGACACUCCCACAGUGGUGUAAAUACUCAGGGAGGCUUUACAAAAACCUCUUAA